GCAUUAGUAGCUCAACUUCAGAGCAUCGGUCUUGUAAGCCGAAGGCCGAGGGUUAGACUCCCCCCUACUGCU
RNAcentral lists this transfer RNA (72 nucleotides) under Centropyge loriculus (flame angel). Its description in RNAcentral is "tRNA-Thr". It matches the Rfam family "tRNA". From Rfam's summary of the family: Transfer RNA (tRNA) molecules are approximately 80 nucleotides in length. Lineage: Eukaryota; Metazoa; Chordata; Actinopteri; Pomacanthidae. The record is from RNAcentral.